CGUAGUAUUUGCCCCAGACUUAUUGUAAUUCAUUGCAGGCAAAGGAGUACUUUGAGAUAGCUGCUAACAACGACGAGGCUGGUGGGUACUAUAACCUGGGGGUGAUGUAUCUUAAAGGCAUUGGGGUGAAAAGAGAUGUGAAGCUGGCAUGCAAGUACUUCAUAGCAGCUGCCAAUGCAGACCAACCAAAGGCAUUCUACCAGCUAGCAAAAAUGUUCCAUACCGGUAUCGGGCUCAAGAAAAAUCUUGCCACGGUAAAACUAAAUACUUACAUUUGUGUGUUUGCAGCUAUCUAUCCAUACAUCAUGCAUCGAUGUGUAUGUAAUGUGUAUAUCUUGUGAAAUUGGUGGAUACGCAUGCAUGCGUAUCCUAUCUUCACUUUUUGCUUAGUAAUCCUUAAAGAUUGCGAUGCCAUACUAAUCUUGUAUUUAUGUAAGGUAAUAUAUAUUGGGCUGAACAGCUGUAAGCUUAAUAUAUUUUUCAGGCUACUGCAUUGUAUAAGCUAGUUGCAGAGAGGGGACCAUGGGGCUCUUUAUCAAGAUGGGCCCUUGAAUCAUAUUUAAAAGGCGAUGUGGGCAAGGCAUUCCUUUUAUAUUCGAGGAUGGCUGAGUUGGGCUAUGAGGUGGCACAAAGUAAUGCUGCAUGGAUUCUUGAUAAGUAUGGUGAGCGCAGCAUGUGCAUGGGGAAAGCAGGAUUUUGCACAGAUGCGGAACGACACCAACGAUCACAUUAUUUAUGGUGGCAAGCUUCCGAGCAAGGAAAUGAGCAUGCUGCUUUGAUGAUCGGAGAUGCAUACUAUUAUGGACGGGUAUGUAUUUUCAAUGGAUUGAAUAAUGGAGAGGAAAAAUAAAUAAAUUUGUCUUUGUGGACUCUCUAGCCUCUUGAUGGAGUACUUCAGGUCGACAGACUUGGAUCUCACUUGAGUUGCCUCAGCUCCAAUUAAGCCUAAUUUUUUGUGUCUUUUCUUAGGGUACUGAAAGAGAUUAUGAACGUGCGGCAGAGGCUUACAUGCAUGCGCAAUCCCAAGCUAAUGCACAAGCUAUGUUCAAUCUUGGUUAUAUGCAUGAACAUGGCCAGGGUCUUCCUUUUGAUCUUCAUUUAGCAAAACGCUAUUAUGAUCAAGCCCUUGAGAAUGAAACUGCUGCAAUACGUAAGUGUUCCAUACUGCACUUAAGUUUACUUUGAGUUGCCUUCAAAGCCGGUGGAGUCCUCGGAAAGGCCAAGAUCUGGUUCGCUAAGAUGAAACCGGGUCAAACCCAGUUCCAAUUCCAAACAUUUUACCAGAUCAAAGUGAACCAUACAAUUAAACCAGUUCAAGAUCAGCCUGGUUCAACUGGUUCGUCCAGUUGGGGUUUGAAUGGAUCGCCUUGAGUUGAUUUAGAAGAGCUUUUUCUUGUAUGCAGAUAAUUGUCCUUCUGAUGCAACACCUUCCAAAAGCUGCUUCUGUUGAUAAGAGGUGGUGCUGAGUCCUGGAGCUGAAGAACACGAACCGUUGAUCGAUAGAUGUCACUUUGAUCUCUGUUUCUUGCCAUUAGAUGUAUAUUUGUAUAUGACUUAAGCCGAUACCUUUUCGUUUCCUCCUGCCCUAAUCCUGCCUAUAGAGAGAUUGAGGGCCCAUUAUGUGAAAACAUGAUUCCUACAUAACAUAGUGUAAAUAGGUGGCAACAAAAGGUUCUUUCUCCGAUAAAUCAAGCUUUUGAUUCCUGUUCUCGUUCGAUGGAAGCAAUGCCAAUAGGCUCGUCUGAGCAAAAGGUGAAAAGGGGAAGAAGAUUGUAUUCUGUGGUGAAACUCAGAUUGCAUGCCGAAUUGUCCGGGCUUCACUAUUAAGUAAUUUCAUUAACUAUCUUAUUCGUUAAAAGUUAGAGUUAGGUUUUUCUUGCUAGCAUAGUUUGGGUGUCAAUAUGCUGUUCAAAUGGCCCCAAGAGGUGGGAGGAGUUAGUAGAAGCGUCAUACAAGUAACAAAAUAAGCCCCAUCCACCACUUCUACAUCACUGACAAAUUGAUGGGACAAUUGUUGAGGCUCAAAACUUGGCAAAUAUUCUGAACCAAUAUUGUUAUGCGUCGGGACAAUUCAUUAAUCUCAACAAAUCAGGAUUUUCUUUGAGAGAAACUGUCCCCAAGGAAUAAAACAGAAUAUAGCAGCUGAACUAAGGGUGCCAAUCAUUAACAAAACAGGUAAAUAUCUAGGCGUAUCUUUAGACUGGGGACAAAUGAAUAAACAAAUGUUUUCUUGGGUAUUAGCAAGAGUGGAGAGAAAAUUAGUAAGGUGGAAAGAGAAGCUAAUGUCUAGGGCUGGAAAAGAAAUACUAAUCAAGAUAGUAGUCCAAGCUUUACCUCAAUUUACCAUGCCUAUCUUCAAAAUUCCUAUAUCAAUUUGCAAGGCAAUUGAAAAGAAAAUACCAUCUUUCUGGUGAAAAAAAAUGUUGUGGGUAAGGGCAUUCAUUGAAAAAGAGGGACUAUUUUAAAAUCAAGGAAAGAUUGUCGAGGGUUAGGCUUCAUGGACUUAGUUGAUUUUUAACAAAGCGAUGUUGGGCAAACGAGCAUGGAGAUUUAGACAAGACCAAACAUCCAUAUGGAGUAGUUUGUUGAAAAGUAUUUACUUUCCUAGAGGUGAUUUUUAGACAGCCAAAAAAGGCCCCCGAACCUCAUAGGGGUGUCAAAGUCUAUUAAUGAGAAGGGAUACUAUCGAGCAAGAAGUUAAAUGAGGUUGGGGAUAGCAGCAAGAUCAGAAUUAGAGAGGAUAGAUGACUGAUGUCAGGCAAGAUAGGUGGUCUAGCAAAUAAAAAUAAUCAUCGUUUGGUGUCAAAAUUAAUCAAUCAAAUUGAACGGGAAUGGAAUUCUCAACUACUACGGGAGACUUUCGAUGAAAGAAUUGCUAAAGAAAUCACAACUAUGCCUUUGAGCCUAACACCUGGGCUAGACAAGAUGAUAUGGACAACAAACCAUUCAGGCACCUACACGGAAAAGAGCAGGUAUAACAAGCUUCGAGACUCCAAAAGAAUCCAAAUGGCAAAUUAACCAUCCUCAUCAUAAUAGCCUCCUGAAAAACUAUGUGCAGAAAUAUGGAAAACUCAUAACCUCCCCGAAGGUCAAAUUUUUAAUAUGGAGUACAUGUAACAACGCUUUACCUACAAAAGAAAACCUACACAAAGAGAAAGAUUUUUUCAUAUGUAGUACAUUUAACAACACUUUACCUACAAAAGAAAACCUACACAAGAGAAAGAUUUACUUGAACAAGAAUGUCCUCUCUGCGGCCAAGGUCCACAUUUUAUUCACUGUCCCUGGACAAAGGCGGUAUGGUCGAAUAAGAGAAUUGCAGCAAACACUUCUCCAAAAAUCAGCAAUCAAAUGAAUAAAUGGAUAUGGAAGAAUCUCACCAUAAAGGGAAGCCUACAAGCCAAAGCCGAGUUCGCGGAAGCUAUUUGGAGAAUAUGGAAGGCUCAGAACAGUCAGGUCUUCAAAGGAAAAAAAAUCCCAACGCGAGCUUAAUAACCAAGGAAUCCAUACUCUCGACACAACUACAAUUGGAACAGGGGAAGAAUAACACUUACCAAGCAGAUGAAGAUCCCUCGGCAGAUGUGCAAACGAGUGGACUUUCUUCAGUAGCAAAAUCAGCAAGCCCACCAAGCAACUUUCUCUACAAGAUCUCAGUGAAUAGCGCAUGGACCAGCUUGGAACUUGAGGGAUCAGCAGCGAGGGUGAGCAAAAAUAGAGAGGGAGUCCUCCUCAACAGAUUUGCAAAAUGGAUUUCCACCCCUUCCGUGCUCGUGGCCGAAACCCCAGUGAUCCGCAAGGCACUGAACUGGUAGAAAGAAAACAGAGCCGCACGAAGUGAACGAGCUAAAGGAAGUCUUCCACAUGAUCUGCACAUGCACGGUCAAAGUGAAGUGAGCACGCUCCUAACGUCCAACAGCUUGUCAGCUGUAGAAUGUAUAUGGGGCCAGGCUGAAGCACUAUGGGCCGCGCGUUCUGUCAUCCAAGGCUGCAGGGACUUGUUGAGCCAGCUUAAAGAAAUUCAUCUGUGUUUUGAACCAAGAGACUAUAACCAAGCCGCCAAUUGGAUUGCUAAGACACAUUGAACCGGCUCGCUCCUAACAAACUGGAUUUUAAAUCCCCAUCAUCCUCUUUGGUUAAUUUUAUGUUUGGACAUCAAAUCUUUUUGUAACCCAUCAGUCUCAAGCUAGUAAUGAAAUAUCAUUAAUUUUGGACCCCCAAAAAAAAAAAAAGUCAACAUACUAUCAGCCUUCUUUCAAAUAUUUAAAAAUGAAAAAAAAAAUCAAGAACAUCAUCACGAGGACAUAUGAAAGCAAUACAAUCAUAUAUGUCCCCUAUGGUGAGAGACUUUGUAAGAUCAAAAUUUAUGCAAUUCAAAACAAAACCAAUCUAGCUAGCCCUAAUAAGCCAACAAAGCACAAAUGAAGGUCCUAAGCUGGAAUUGUCAAGGGUUGGGUACUCCCUUGACAAUUCGGCACCUUAGAGCCCUAAUAGCUCAUGAAAAGCCAGCUUGGUUGUCCUUAUGGAAACCAAAAACAGAGAAAACAUGGUUCACUGAGUAAGAAAAAGCUUAGGUUUUAAGCAUUCUAUUAUUAUAAAUCCAAUUUAAAUAGCGGGAGGAUUUGUUGUUAGGUGGGGCGAUGAAGUUGAAGUGGAAUUGAAAGGAAGCUCCAAGAAACUCAUCGAUAUUAUUUGCAAAGUCCUUAGUAGUCAACAAUCAAUGAGGAUAUCUUUCCUACAUGCUUCCAUCAUAUUUUAGGAGAGGCUAAGCUUAUGGCAACCUUUGCGUUCACUCAAUUACUCUAACAAUCUUCCUUGGCUUUGCAUAGGAGAUUUUAAUGAAGUGCUAUAUCAAUAGGAGAAGGUUGGCCGAAGGGAGGUGGCUAGAUAUAGAAUGGUGGCCUUUCAUGAAUUUUUGGACUUUUUUUCCUUAAUGGAUAUAGUAAGUAAGGGUGCGCAUAUACAUGGACCAACAAUAGAGAAUCAAGCGAGCUAGUGAAGAAACGGCUUGACAUGGCCCUAUGUAAUCCAGCAUGGAGAGUUCAAUUUCGGAAUGCAAAAGUCUUUGUAUUACCCGUGAUUGGCUCAGAUCAUUGCCCAUUGAUUUUAACCUUGGAGCCCAACAUAACGAAUAGAAGGAGAAUGUUUAGGUUUGAGGCAUUUUGGCUUGAUGAAUAUGAAUGCAAAGAAGUCAUCCGAGAAGCUUAGGGAAAAGAUAGAAGCAAUCCUUUGAACAUAGCAAGGAAAUCAAGAAGGGUGGUUGCUAAGUUAUGGAAGUGGAGCAGGAAAAGAUUCAAAAAUGCACCUCAAUAAAUUGAAAGUCUAAGAAAGAGACUCAUGGAGCUGAUGCAUAGUGAAGAUGCCGAUUCCAACAAAGCGGAGUAUAGAGAAAUUGUAGAACUUAUUGGUAGAUUGUGGAGGCAAGAAAAAAUGUAUCGGUGCAUGCGUUCUAUGAUUAAUUGGCUGAAAUGGGGCAACCACAACACAAAAUUUUUUCAUGCCACAACGGUCCUAAGAAGACAAAGAAAUAGAAUAACCAUGCUCAGGCUCAAAGAUAACACGUGGGGUAGAGAUCCUUCUAUCCUUAAAUAUCAUAUAAGGGGCUUCUAUCAAUCGUUGUAUACUUCGAUGGGAAAUAGAAAUUAUCAGCCUAUUUUAGAUUAAUGCAAACAAAGGGUCAAUGAAGAAAUGAAUGCGGAACUGCUAAGGCUAGUGUCAAGGGAAGAAGUUAAACUUGCAGUCUUUCAAAUGGGUGCCACAAAAGCUCUGGGACUAGAUGGGCCAAAUGGUUUAUUUUAUCAAAGCCAAUGGCCAUUGAUCCACGAAGUUAUAUUCCAAAUGGUCAACUCAUUUUUCAGCCAAGGUAUGUCCGACCCUGAGCAAAAUCAAACUCAUAUCACACUCAUCCCCAAAGUUACAAAUCUUGAAGAUAUUACCCAAUAUUGGCCUAUUAGUCUUUGCAAUUUUAACUAUAAGAUUAUAGCAAAAGUGAUGGAAAAUAGACUAAAACCUGUCCUCCCUAAUAUUGUUUCACAAGAAUAAAGUGUCUUCAUGAGUGACCGUCAAAUUCAAGAUAACAUCUUCAUAGUCCAAGAGGUUUUAUAUCAGCUGAGGGUUCAAAAAAAGAAGUAGAAGUUCUAGGCGGUCCUACUAGAUAUACAAAAGGCCUAUGAUAGAGUAGAAUGAGAUUUUUUGACCAAGCAUAUGCUGAAACUUGGUUUCUAUGAAAAAUGGGUCCUCCUAGUCAAAACAUGUAUCUCAUUGGUCUCGUUUUGUGUAAGAGUUAAUGGAGAACCCUCAGCCCCGUUCUACCCAUCUCGAGGCAUUAGACAAGGAGACCCACUUUCCGCCUAUCUUUUCAUCAUUAUGGCAAAUGCCCUAUCCUCACUUAUGCUGAAAGCCGUCGAAGAAAAAACCAUCCAAGGUAUUCUUUUGAACCCUACCUGUUUCAUACUAUCACAUCUCUUGUUUGCGGAUGAUGCCAUCUUUUUCUUAAAGGGCUCAAUUAUGGAAGCUCAAAAUCUGGCUAAUCUUCCGAACCAAUACUAUUUUGCCAUGGGUCAAGCUAUAAAUCUCAACAAGUCAGGUAUUUUCUUUGGGAACGAUUGCCCCUACAACUUAAAAGCAAAUCUAGCGGCUGAAUUAAGAGUUCUUAUAAUGGAGAAAAACAAGGAAGUACCUAGGGAUACAUUCUGAUUGGGGCCAAACUAAAAAACAAUUGUUCGCUUGGGUCCUAGCAAAGGUGGAUAGAAAACUGGAGGGUUGGAAAGAAAAGUUGAUAUCAAAGACAGGGAAAGAGAUUUUAAUCAAAACGGUCAUCCAAGCAUUAUCGAAAUAUGCCAUGUCAAUCUUUAAAAUCCCCAUAUCCAUUUGUAAAGUAAUUGAUCAACGAAUCUCAAAUUCUAGUGGAAACAAAGUGUUGAAAAGAAGGGCAUUCACUAAAAAAGUUGGAAAGUGCUGAAAACUUGGAAGGAUUGUAGAGGACUUGGGUUAAGAGAUCUUGCAGAUUUUAACAGGGCUAUGUUGGGGAAACAAGCCUAGGGGAUGAUCAAUGCCCCAGAUGCCCUAUGGAGUGAAAUUUUGAGGAGCCUAUAAAUGACUUCUUGAAUGCCAAAAAAGGCCAUAAUCCUUCUUGGGUAUGGCAAAGCCUCCUAGUGGGUCGGGAUGUUAUUGAACCAGAUAUAAGAUGGGAAAUUGGUGAUGGGAACAAUGUCAGAAUUAGAGAGGACACGUGGCUACCCUCGAGUAAGAUAUGAGGCCCUCCAAAUCAAAACGACACUUAGUCUGUUGCUAAACUAAUAGAUUUUUCAGCAAGCAAAUGGGAUGAAUAGAAACUUUAGGUAUUGUUUGAGGAUGGAGUAGUUAUAGAAAUUUUAGCUACUCCCCUUCACUUGAACCUAGGACAUGACAAGUUGCUAUGGACAGCAAACAAUUCGGGAGAAUAUAAGGUAAAGAGCGAAUACAACAGAGUCAGAAAUUAGAAUAAUUGCCAUCCACAAGCCCAAUUAUCUACGUUAUACCGGAUUGCGAAAGCCUUAUGGACUGAAAUAUGGAAGCUAAAAACAUAUCCCAAAAUCAAAUUUCUUAUAUAAAGCAUAUGUAACAAUGCAUUGCCUACCAAGGAGUAUUUAUUCAAGAGGAUGAUGGUACCUAAGCCUAUUUGCGCAAUAUGCGGCCAACAACCGGAGAUAGUGGAACGCCUCUUCCUACUGUGCAGUUGGACAAGAGACGUGUAGUUAGACCCCAUAUUAGUAAUAGACAUCUCCCCAAUGGAGAUCACACGCAUAGACAAAUGGGUGUCGGAUACUCUUACCUUAAAUGUUGACUACUAGGAGAAAGCGUUUGUUGCUGAAGUACUGUGGCAAAUUUGGAAAGCGAGGAAUGCUAUGUCUUUCGAGCUCAACCGCCACAACCAAGAUCGAUCCUAGAGGAAGCUAUCCUAAAAUCUCGUCUUUACCAAAAAUGGCACCUGCACGAAGAAGUCCCAAACAUCAACAAACAUUCACAACCCAAACCAUGGACGCAAACGAAGAACCAGAUCUGGAAAAUAAACGUGGACAACUCUUGGUGUAGCUCAUCCAUGAUUGGAUCGGUGGCCAUAAUCUGUAGAAACGAGCAUGGCGUUCUCGUUGAUGCUCUUGCGAAGCCGUUCCACGCUACUUCGACUCUAGUGGCGAAAACCCUAGCCAUGAGAGAGGGGCUGCUUUGGUUGAGGAAGAUGUUGGAUGCAUGAACCCCACGAAUUGAGUUCAAUUCAGUUUCUGACUUGUACUUUCUCUUUGCCUCCGACAAUUUAGUGGUUGUUGAAAGCAUUAUGGGAUAGAGGGAAGCCCUAUGGGCUACCAAGUCCCUCGUAAGUGAUUGCACUUUUCUAUUGGGCCUUCAUCCUCAAGCUUGGCUUAUCUUUAAGCUCAGAGAUGCCAACCAAGUGGCUGAUCGAGUAGCGAGGGCCCACCAAACUGGCUCCCUCCCACCGAGUUGGAUUGAUAAUCCUCCCCAUUCCUUUGGCUUAAUCCUAUGCUUAGAUGUUGAAUUUACUUAUUAUCCGUUUUUUAGCAAGUAAUGAAAGCUACUAAUUUCGAAAAAAAAAUGAUGAGAAGUUCACUUAUGACGUGAAUUAAACUAGUGACCUCAUAAAAAUACAUGAUUCUGGUGUUAAAUUCUAGACUAAUUAUAUGAUUCACUAGUUUAAAAAAAUUAAAUGUGCACGCUAAAGAAAAUCUGUCAUUUUAAUUUACGAAAUUAUGCAAUUUUGGUCGGCCUUUCUUAAUCAUUCAUCUCGAUCCGGUUGGGCCGGCAAUGCAACAGCCGGAUCCGGUCCAUCAGAUUUUACAGACGAAACUCGGUCUCCGACGCGGCAAAACCUCAUUGGCCAGAUUCCAAAAACUGACGUGGCCUCGCUGGAACAUUAUACAUAUACACGCCCGGACGCGCCCCUGUGGAAAUUACCAUUUCACCCCUGUCGCCGCCGCCGUCGACCGCCGCCUUCACCGCCACGCGCCGCCGCAUCGCCGCCGCCGUUCCCGACCACCAUGCGCGAUCCGGGUCGCAGCCUCCUCGUCCCCGUCCUCCUCCUCCUCUCCCUCUACCCGCUCUCCCUCGCCGCCCGCCCCUUCUUCCUCAUCCUCACCCAGGAGGACCUCAAGGACGUCGCCGCCGCCCCCCCGGACGAGCUCCUCGACUCCGCCGACUGGGACGAGUUCGGCGACUCCGAGUCCCGGCCCGAGGAGGAGCUCGAUCCCGGCUCCUGGCGCCCGAUGUUCGAGUCCGGCGAGCCCCCCGCCGCCGGAUCCGAGCCGGAGGAGCUCUACUACUCCGGCGUGUCGAAGAUGAUGGCCGCCGCCAGCUCCGGGGAGGGGCGGCUGAUGGAGGAGGCCGUGUCGGAGUUCGAGGCCAGCGCCGCCGCGGGGUACGCGCACGCGCAGUCGGCGCUAGGGUUUCUCCACGGGACGGGGCAGAUGAGGGACAGGAGCAAGGGCAAGGCGUUCCUGUACCACCAUUUCGCUGCCGAGGGAGGGAAUAUGCAGUCGAAGAUGGCGCUUGCUUACACUUAUAUGCGCCAAGAUGUGAGUAUUCAGCUCCGUUGUUAGAAUUACAUGUCAUUAUCACCCAUCAGCAGAUGAUCCAUCGUCAAUGUAGAUUCAGCAUAGACUUUCAUUUGCAUUCGCUAUAGAUGGUGUUACUAAUUUGACGUUUAAGGCUUAUGGUAAGAGCAGAUUACAAGUUGAAUUUGAUGUUUGGACAAGAAGUUUGUAAGCUUUCCUUUGCGAUUCUCACCAUGAUCCCGUUUCUGUUAUUUAGUAAUCCUGGAACUUAUGUUGGAGAAUGAAUUUGUUUAUCCAUGUGUUGUGGGAAGAAUUAAAGCAGUAGAUUUGGUGGUUUUAAGAUGGUUGUUAUUUAACUCGAUGAGCUGACCCUUAUUGUAAUGUGGUUACAGAUGUAUGAAAAAGCGGUCAAGCUGUAUGCCGAGUUAGCAGAGGUAGCUGUAAAUAGCUUUUUAAUCACGAAGGAUUCUCCCGUCAUAGAACCGAUUAGGAUUCACAAUGGAGCUGAGGAGAAUAAAGAAGCUCUGAGGAAGUCCCGAGGUGAGGACGAUGAGGACUUCCAGAUAUUGGAGUACCAGGCACAGAAGGGGAAUGCAAUUGCAAUGUACAAAGUGGGGUUGUUCCAUUAUUUUGGGCUGAGAGGAUUGAGGCGUGACCAUUCGAAAGCAUUGUCAUGGUUUCUAAAGGCUGUGGACAAGGGCGAGCCGAGGUCAAUGGAACUUCUUGGGGAGAUAUAUGCUAGGGGUGCUGGAGUUGAGAGGAACUAUACAAAGGCUUUCGAGUGGCUAAAGCUUGCCUCCAGACAGCAGCUUUACUCGGCUUAUAAUGGAAUGGGCUAUCUAUAUGUCAAAGGUUACGGAGUGGAAAAGAAGAAUUACACUAAGGUAAAUGGGAUUGAUUGUUUUAUAAGUGGAUUCAUGUUUAUGCUUCCAUUUUAUAUGAAAGUUGGAUCUCAGUUACACUUUGUAAAGAUGUCACUAUUUGGAAAUAUUAGUUUUAUUGCCUUGUCUCCCAUGCCAUGACUGCUAUGACUCUUCUUUUCCACAGCACAUUGGAUGUAGUCAAGGUCUUCUCAUUAACUGAGUUUCUCUCUCUUGGAUCACAACAUUGUUUGUUAAUCUGAUGACUCUCUCUGUUAUAAUUAAAUUUUCUUGGAACACACACUUGGAUGAAUUCCUGAUUCGAGGCCUCUAACCUUUGACGUUAUGAACUUCCCAUAUGCCCGUUUUUAUGUUUCCUUAAAAAUUGUCCUUCCUCCGGCAAUUGCUCUCUGAUUCUUGAGUUAGCUACGUUACAAUAAUUUUAGCAGGUGCCAAGCAAAUUUUUGUAUGUCAUCACUAGAAUAAGUACUGUGAGAUUUACUAUUUAUUCGAUGACAACAAUAUUUCGUGAUUUUCUUCUUCUUAUUAACUUGUGAAAUCCUUGUUCCUGUGACUUCAUUUUCUUUUUCCUAGGCUUGUUCAUUUAGUGCAUUUGAUUCGAUUUGGCAAAUGAGACAUCGCUUCAUAAAGAACCAACUUCUGAGCACUAGGUUUUUCCUGUGUAUGUUCACAGUCCUAUCAUAAAUGGUAGUGGUGAGAUCAAUUACGUAGUAUUUGCCCCAGACUUAUUGUAGUUCAUUGCAGGCAAAGGAGUACUUUGAGAAAGCUGCUAACAACGAAGAGGCUGGUGGGUACUAUAACCUGGGGGUGAUGUAUCUUAAAGCCAUUGGGGUGAAAAGAGAUGUGAAGCUGGCGUGCAAGUACUUCAUAUCAGCUGCCAAUGCAGGCCAACCGAAGGCAUUCUACCAGCUAGCAAAAAUGUUCCACACAGGUGUCGGGCUCA
This 11363-nucleotide long non-coding RNA is filed under the name Eucalyptus grandis. RNAcentral describes it as "long non-coding RNA (EGRA_LNC000562)". Lineage: Eukaryota; Viridiplantae; Streptophyta; Magnoliopsida; Myrtales; Myrtaceae. The record is from RNAcentral.